ACUCAAAUGAAUAGACGGGGACUCGCACAAGCGGUGGAGCAUGUGGUUUAAUUCGACGAUACGCGAAGAACCUUACCCACACUUGACAUCCUGGGAAUCCUGACGAGAGUCGGGAGUGCCUUCAGGAGCCCAGUGACAGGUGUUGCAUGGCCGUCGUCAGCUCGUGUCGUGAGAUGUUGGGUUAAGUCCCGCAACGAGCGCAACCCUUAUUGCAUGUUGUAUUUUUCAUGCGAUACUGCCGGUGACAAAUCGGAGGAAGGUGGGGACGAAGUCAGGUCAGCAUGGCCCUUACGUGUGGGGCUACACACGUGCUACAAUGGCUGGUACAACGGGUCGCUAAGUCGCAAGACGGAGCUAAUCCCACCAAAACCAGUCCCAGUUCGGAUUGUAGGCUGCAACUCGCCUACAUGAAGUCGGAAUCGCUAGUAACCGCAGGUCAGCAUACUGCGGUGAAUACGUUCUCGAGUCUUGCACACACCGCCCGU
This 485-nucleotide ribosomal RNA is filed under the name uncultured bacterium. RNAcentral's name for it is "partial 16S ribosomal RNA". It matches the Rfam family "Bacterial small subunit ribosomal RNA", at positions 899 to 1397 of the family's 1533-position model. The record is from RNAcentral.